Non-coding RNA from Chrysemys picta bellii (western painted turtle), 590 nucleotides. The record is from RefSeq and is a predicted model, not a curated record. Lineage: Eukaryota; Metazoa; Chordata; Testudines; Emydidae.
CCCAGCUUCUGACUGUGAGCCAUUCAGCUACAAUGGGGAGGCCUAGAUGCUAGGCCCACAUGAGAGAGGGAAGGAUUUCAGGCCCAAGGCCCAAGUGGGGCAGGAAGAAGCACACGCUCACCUCAGUUGCCUUCUUUGCUGAGGAUGAGUUGCAAGACAGCUGGUUCAUUACAUCAGCCACGGCAUUAUUGACCUUUUCCCUUUCUAGUGAUUAGCCUCCGAUCUCCGAUACAUUCUUUGUGACCUUGUAGGAAGAGAUGGAAUCUGUGCAUUAGCCCUCUCAUGCUAUGGAGCCACGAGAAGGUUUGACAGCAGAAGUAGAUGCAGUGUGGACUAAUCUAUGAGGGACUAACAGGUUCAUGCCAUAUAGCAGGCCUGCACAACAUACAGCCCGCGGUGGCGUGCCUGCCCGCCGACAGGAGCCAGCAAUGCGGGCGGCUGAGUCCAGCCCAAUCAGAGCUGCGGUGGCGGGGCUUUCAGGCACCCCCCCUGACCCAAUGCCGGCGCCAGCGCAAGGAUAUUUUUGCGCCCUCGCGCGCCACCUCCCCCCCUGCCCCAAGCAGGACACAGGCACGGAGCCCUCGCGCGCU